Non-coding RNA from Taeniopygia guttata (zebra finch), 396 nucleotides. Lineage: Eukaryota; Metazoa; Chordata; Aves; Passeriformes; Estrildidae. The record is from RefSeq and is a predicted model, not a curated record.
UCAGCUCUCCAAAGCAAGGCAGAAAUUUGCAGAACAAAAAUGGGUUUUUGAGCUCACCACUCCAGGAGAGGCUGCCUGGGGGGGAUCUCCCAGGGGGCUGAGAAAAGUCCCAGGAACUCAAGGUGAAUCCUGGAUCACUGUGAUUUCGAAAAGGUAAUGGCCACCACAGAACUGGGAUUUUUCCAGUUUGGUGUUCCACACAUGGGUGGUUUUACUUGGUAUACCAUAGUUACUAUGGCAGUCCUUUACCUUCAGCAUGAGCAUCACAGUUGUCCAUCAUUCAUCUGUCACUGCUGAGGUAAAUUAGUGAACUACUGUUCAAGAGUGACUAUGCAGGCAUAGUCACUCUUGCAUUGAUAAUUUUUGAAAACAUUUGUUUUCUGAAAUUAUGGAAAA